Molecule: ribosomal RNA, 673 nt
Filed under: Opsarius pulchellus
Lineage: Eukaryota; Metazoa; Chordata; Actinopteri; Cypriniformes; Danionidae
Description: partial 12S ribosomal RNA
Rfam family: Bacterial small subunit ribosomal RNA
Source: RNAcentral
CAACCGCGGUUAGACGAGAGGCCCCAGUUGAUUAGUCACGGCGUAAAGGGUGGUUAUGGAAAUCAAAGAAUAAAGCCGAAUGGUCCCUUGGCCGUCAUACGCUCCUGCUGGCCCGAAGCCCAAGCACGAAAGUAGCUUUAGGAGAUUACCUGAGUCCACGAAAGCUAAGAAACAAACUGGGAUUAGAUACCCCAUUAUGCUUAGCCAUAAACUAAGACACAUGAUUACAACAAUGUCCGCCUGGACACUACGAGCACUAGCUUAAAACCCAAAGGACCUGACGGUGUCUUAGACCCCCCUAGAGGAGCCUGUUCUAGAACCGAUUUUCCCCGUUAAACCUCACCACUCCUAGUUAUAGCCAGCCUAUAUACCGCCGUCGCCAGCUUACCCUGUGAAGGGAAAGAAGUAAGCAAAAUGGGUAAAACCCAAAAAGUCAGGUCGAGGUGUAGCACAUGGGGUGGGAAGAAAUGGGCUACAUUUUCUACUUCAGAAUACAACGAACACGCAACAUGAAAUACAUGCCAGAAGGAGGAUCUAGAAGUAAAAAGGAAAUAGAGUGUCCUUUUGAAUCUGGCUCUAAGACGCGUACACACCGCCCGUCACUCCCCCCAGUCUUAAUAUAAAAAUAUUCCUAAUAAAACAGAGCUGACAAGGGGGGAAAAGUCGUAACAAG